GCAGGUGUGUCGGAAUCGGCAGACGAGGCAGACUCAAAAUCUGUUGCCCGCGAGGGCGUAUGGGUUCAAGUCCCAUCACCUGCA
Molecule: transfer RNA, 84 nt
Filed under: Clostridia bacterium
Lineage: Bacteria; Bacillati; Bacillota; Clostridia
Description: tRNA-Leu
Rfam family: tRNA
About the family: Transfer RNA (tRNA) molecules are approximately 80 nucleotides in length.
Source: RNAcentral